RNAcentral lists this non-coding RNA (29 nucleotides) under Trypanosoma brucei brucei. The record is from RNAcentral. Lineage: Eukaryota; Euglenozoa; Kinetoplastea; Trypanosomatida; Trypanosomatidae.
AAAUAAUCUACAAUAUAAUUUAUAUAAGA